GACAGAGGGUGCAAACGUUGUUCGGAAUUACUGGGCGUAAAGCGUGUGUAGGCGGCUACAUAAGUCGGAUGUGAAAGCCCCGGGCUCAACCCGGGAAGUGCACUCGAUACUGCGUAGCUUGAGUCUCGGAGAGGUUGGUGGAAUUCUCGGUGUAGAGGUGAAAUGCGUAGAUAUCGAGGGGAACACCUGCGGCGAAGGCGGGUUGCUGGGCUGACACUGACGCUGAUGUGCGAAAGCUAGGGGAGCGAACGGG
Molecule: ribosomal RNA, 253 nt
Filed under: uncultured bacterium
Lineage: Bacteria
Description: partial 16S ribosomal RNA
Rfam family: Bacterial small subunit ribosomal RNA
Source: RNAcentral